UACGUAGGCAGCAAACGUUGUUCGGAAUUACUGGGCGUAAAGAGUGUGUAGGCGGUCCUGUAAGUCUGAUGUGAAAGCCCCCGGCUCAACCGGGGAGGGUCAUUGGAAACUGGGAGACUUGAGUACAGAAGAGAAGAGCGGAAUUCCACGUGUAGCGGUGAAAUGCGUAGAGAUGUGGAGGAACACCAGUGGCGAAGGCGGCUCUUUGGUCUGUAACUGACGCUGAGGCGCGAAAGCGUGGGGAGCAAACAGG
RNAcentral lists this ribosomal RNA (253 nucleotides) under uncultured bacterium. Its description in RNAcentral is "partial 16S ribosomal RNA". It matches the Rfam family "Bacterial small subunit ribosomal RNA", at positions 524 to 776 of the family's 1533-position model. The record is from RNAcentral.